GAGAGCCGUAUGCAUCGAGAGGUGCACGUACGGUUCGGGGGCGAGCACGCGAAAACCUGCCAUUAACGGUAAGGCGUCGUGUGCUUAGCCUAC
RNAcentral lists this non-coding RNA (93 nucleotides) under uncultured Sporomusa sp. Lineage: Bacteria; Bacillati; Bacillota; Negativicutes; Selenomonadales; Sporomusaceae. The record is from RNAcentral.